Molecule: small nuclear RNA, 320 nt
Filed under: Castor canadensis (American beaver)
Lineage: Eukaryota; Metazoa; Chordata; Mammalia; Rodentia; Castoridae
Description: 7SK RNA (ENSCCNG00000006933.1)
Rfam family: 7SK RNA
About the family: 7SK was discovered as an abundant small nuclear RNA in the mid-70s but a possible function has only recently been suggested. Two independent studies have found that 7SK RNA binds the CDK9/cyclin T complex (known as elongation factor P-TEFb).
Source: Rfam by way of RNAcentral
GGAUGUGAGGGUGAUCUGGCUGUGACAUCUGUCACCACAUUGAUUGCCAGGGUUGAUUCGGCUCAUCUGGCCUGCUAGGCGGGUGUCCCCUGCUCCCUCACCGCUCCAUGUGCAUCCCUCCCAAAGCUGCACGCUCGGUCGAAGAGGACCAUGCCCGAUAGAGGAGGACCAUUCUUCGGUCAAGGGUAUACGAGUAGCUGCGCUCCCUUGCUAGAACCUCCAAACAAGCUCUCAAAGUCAAAAUAAAACAAUUUUGUUAUAAAUCUUCCAGUCUUUUAUGAAGGGAUGGCAAAAUACAUUCACUUUGUAUGAAAUUAGCU